RNAcentral lists this ribosomal RNA (496 nucleotides) under uncultured bacterium. Its description in RNAcentral is "bacterial SSU rRNA". It matches the Rfam family "Bacterial small subunit ribosomal RNA", at positions 26 to 518 of the family's 1533-position model. The record is from RNAcentral.
AGGACGAACGCUGGCGGCGUGCUUAACACAUGCAAGUCGAACGAGGAUUAGCGGAUGAGAGUUCGACAGGAUGAAGCUAAUCGAGUGGCGGACGGGUGAGUAACGCGUGAAUGAUCUGUCCCAGACAGGGGGAUAACACUUGGAAACAGGUGCUAAUACCGCAUAAGACCACGGUAUCGCAUGGUACAGGGGGUAAAAAGGAGGAAUCCGGUUUGGGGUGAGUUCGCGUCCGAUUAGAUAGUUGGUGAGGUAACGGCCCACCAAGUCGACGAUCGGUAGCCGACCUGAGAGGGUGAUCGGCCACAUUGGAACUGAGAGACGGUCCAAACUCCUACGGGAGGCAGCAGUGGGGAAUAUUGGGCAAUGGGCGAAAGCCUGACCCAGCAACGCCGCGUGAGUGAUGAAGGCCUUCGGGUUGUAAAGCUCUGUUAUAGGGGACGAAGGAAGUGACGGUACCCUAUAAGGAAGCCCCGGCUAACUACGUGCCAGCAGCGGC